This 76-nucleotide transfer RNA is filed under the name Candidatus Hydrogenedentes bacterium ADurb.Bin170. RNAcentral's name for it is "tRNA-Gly". It matches the Rfam family "tRNA". From Rfam's summary of the family: Transfer RNA (tRNA) molecules are approximately 80 nucleotides in length. Their secondary structure includes four short double-helical elements and three loops (D, anti-codon, and T loops). The record is from RNAcentral. Lineage: Bacteria; Pseudomonadati; Candidatus Hydrogenedentota. RNAcentral also lists the same sequence under 2 other names.
GCGGGAAUAGCUCAGUUGGUAGAGCGUCAGCCUUCCAAGCUGAGGGUCGCGAGUUCGAGCCUCGUUUCCCGCUCCA